Molecule: ribosomal RNA, 465 nt
Filed under: uncultured bacterium
Lineage: Bacteria
Description: partial 16S ribosomal RNA
Rfam family: Bacterial small subunit ribosomal RNA
Source: RNAcentral
CUACGGGGCCCUCCAGUGGGGAAUAUUGCGCAAUGGCCGAAAGGCUGACGCAGCGACGCCGCGUGUGGGAGGAAGCCCCUCGGGGUGUAAACCACUGUCAGAAGGGAAGAACUUCGGGCUUCCGAAUACGAAGCCUGGCUGACGGUACCUUCAGAGGAAGCGCCGGCUAACUCCGUGCCAGCAGCCGCGGUAAGACGGAGGGCGCAAGCGUUGUUCGGAAUCACUGGGCGUAAAGCGCACGCAGGCGGUCUCUUAAGUCCUCUGUGAAAUCCCGGGGCUCAACCCCGGAGUUGCAGGGGAUACUGAGGGACUGGAGACUGGUAGAGGCUAGCGGAAUUCCUGGUGUAGCGGUGGCAUGCGUAGAUAUCAGGAGGAACACCGGUGGCGAAGGCGGCUAGCUGGGCCAGUUCUGACGCUCAUGUGCGAAAGCGUGGGGAGCAAACAGGAUUAGAUACCCCCGUAGUC